Molecule: ribosomal RNA, 448 nt
Filed under: uncultured bacterium
Lineage: Bacteria
Description: partial 16S ribosomal RNA
Rfam family: Bacterial small subunit ribosomal RNA
Source: RNAcentral
CCAGACUCCUACGGGAGGCAGCAGUGGGGAAUAUUGGACAAUGGGGGGAACCCUGAUCCAGCGACGCCGCGUGAGUGAAGAAGUAUUUCGGUAUGUAAAGCUCUAUCAGCAGGGAAGAAAGAAAUGACGGUACCUGACUAAGAAGCCCCGGCUAACUACGUGCCAGCAGCCGCGGUAAUACGUAGGGGGCAAGCGUUAUCCGGAUUUACUGGGUGUAAAGGGAGCGCAGACGGCAGUGCAAGUCUGGAGUGAAAGCCCGGGGCCCAACCCCGGAACUGCUCUGGAAACUGUGCGGCUAGAGUACUGGAGGGGCAGGCGGAAUUCCUAGUGUAGCGGUGAAAUGCGUAGAUAUUAGGAGGAACACCAGUGGCGAAGGCGGCCUGCUGGACAGUAACUGACGUUGAGGCUCGAAAGCGUGGGGAGCGAACAGGAUUAGAUACCCGAGUAC